UGGUAGCUGAAGCGGGGAAGGAUGACGCCAUGACGCAGGGAUGGAGGAGGGAGGAGAUGCCGUCUUACGACAGCGCGCCACCUACAGGUGUCGCUCGUUGACAGGAAGGAAAAUCAAAGUGUGACGACGCUUCCAGUGUGAGAUCAUCUUCAAACAGCACAUUCAUCCUGAGAAGAUUCAAAAGCUGAUAAAUCUCUUGCAAGAAAGUUAUUCGCUUCAAGUUAAAAACAAAGCAGAACAGAAUAGUUUGCAAGUUCACUUUAUUGUCAAUUAAUUCAGUAUGAAUAAUUCAGUUAUGCAACAUACAGCAACAUACAAAGAGAGUGUAGUGCUUUCCUCCAUUAUUACAAAACAUAAAUUACGUAGAUUUCUUCUAAAUAAAAAUAAGUGCUGUACUUUUA
This is a non-coding RNA of Gasterosteus aculeatus aculeatus (three-spined stickleback), 401 nucleotides long. The record is from RefSeq and is a predicted model, not a curated record. Lineage: Eukaryota; Metazoa; Chordata; Actinopteri; Perciformes; Gasterosteidae.